UGCAUAACAAAUUAUAUUAAUUCAAUUAGUUUCUAAACACAUUAUUAUUGAAUACAAAUAAUGAAUUAGUCAACUUAAAUUAUCUAGUUACCUAGAAAAUUAUAUUUAGAAAUUACAAUAAUUAGUUGCGGGACAACCGUCGAACUGCCACCAGAUCGCCGCAUGACCACCAUUUUUCAUCGUUUUGAUUACAUCAAAAUGAUCAUAGACAAACGAUAUAGUCAUUGGAGUAAUCUUUUUGCCUAAAGUACAAUUUCGUUAGAAAUAUACUCAAACAUUUUAAACAGUAUUUUACCUAAAUAACGACAUAUGUUGGAAUUUCUAAAUCCAUAAAGUUGUAGAUCCGCUCCCCAUGACACUAUUGGUACUGGCUAUGAUGUAUGAUGUGUCUCUGGCAAAACUCUGGCGAUUGUCUUGCAAUGUUCCGUUGACAAUCCAAUGAUUGCACAGUGCUGCAUUAGAUUUUUUUCAAAUAAUUUCAUCAUAUUAAUUUAAUAAUAUAAAUAUAAAUUAUUUGUAUUAAAUUAUUUCAAUGAUUAAUUAGAUCUUAUAUAAAUAUUAGAGUUUUCACAUUAAUAAUAGACGAGGAAUAUGCGGGGAAUUUGAAAUCCUUACCCAUUUAUGGCGAAUACAAUCCCUCAACUUGAUGGAUGUUGAACUUCAAUGAAGAAUUGGAAUUGAAUUCCAUGAACUUUGGUGCAACCAAACCGUGAAAAAAGCAAACGAAAUCAAAUUCUUUUCUCCUCCUCUGAUACGGGCUUGCGAAUUGAAUUGGAUGCAAAGGACAAUUUACUAAGAGAGGAGGAAGGAGCCAAAACCGUGACUAAGGAACCCAAUAAUGAAUUCGCAGGAGCAAAACAGCAGCUCAACUUUAGACCCGAGAGAGCCAAGAAACAGCCAGGCUGGAUGAAGGACUACGCCACGUGAACCAAGACAGCAAGGGUGGAUGGAUAAUUCCUCUUAACGAUUAUCUUAAUUCUGUUAUUCUAAAUUAGAUAUUUUACAAUUGCCAGCUCAUGUUUGUCUUUUAGCCUUAGAAUACUCUAGGGGAGUCACG
This 1057-nucleotide long non-coding RNA is filed under the name Citrus sinensis (sweet orange). RNAcentral describes it as "long non-coding RNA (CSIN_LNC001853)". The record is from RNAcentral. Lineage: Eukaryota; Viridiplantae; Streptophyta; Magnoliopsida; Sapindales; Rutaceae.